UGAAGCCGUAGGUCAGUGUGGUAUGCGUCCCUCUCUUCAGCUCCCAGCUGGAGCGGUUCCCCAAGGACUCGGUUGAUGGCAUCCCGAUCAAAUGCUACUGGACGCCCAACCACUUUAGAUACCCAAGUAAAGGGCUCGCCGUCAUCGGGCAGUGCGUUAGCAUAAAAUUCCCGCACUGUAGCUAUGUCGUAAUGCUCUAAGGGAUUAAUCAACCGAUCCCAUUUCUUCGCGUCAAUCAACCCGACAAAAUUUC
RNAcentral lists this long non-coding RNA (253 nucleotides) under Lathyrus oleraceus (garden pea). RNAcentral's name for it is "Pisum sativum (pea) long non-coding RNA (PSAT_LNC027891)". Lineage: Eukaryota; Viridiplantae; Streptophyta; Magnoliopsida; Fabales; Fabaceae. The record is from RNAcentral.